UACGAAGGGGGCGAGCGUUGUUCGGAUUUACUGGGCGUAAAGGGCGCGCAGGCGGCUCAUUUUGUCAGGCGUGAAAGCCCCGGGCUUAACCUGGGAACUGCGUUUGAUACGGAUGGGCUAGAGUUCGGGAGAGGAGAGUGGAAUUCCCAGUGUAGAGGUGAAAUUCGUAGAUAUUGGGAAGAACACCGGUGGCGAAGGCGUCUCUCUGGACCGAGACUGACGCUGAGGCGCGAAAGCGUGGGGAGCAAACAGG
Molecule: ribosomal RNA, 253 nt
Filed under: uncultured bacterium
Lineage: Bacteria
Description: partial 16S ribosomal RNA
Rfam family: Bacterial small subunit ribosomal RNA
Source: RNAcentral